This 467-nucleotide ribosomal RNA is filed under the name uncultured bacterium. RNAcentral describes it as "partial 16S ribosomal RNA". It matches the Rfam family "Bacterial small subunit ribosomal RNA", at positions 28 to 506 of the family's 1533-position model. The record is from RNAcentral.
GACGAACGCUGGCGGCGUGCUUAACACGUGCAAGUCGAACGGAAAGGCCCUGCUUUUGUGGGGUGCUCGAGUGGCGAACGGGUGAGUAACACGUGAGUAACCUGCCCUUGACUUUGGGAUAACUUCAGGAAACUGGGGCUAAUACCGGAUAGGAGCUCCUGCUGCAUGGUGGGGGUUGGAAAGUUUCGGCGGUUGGGGAUGGACUCGCGGCUUAUCAGCUUGUUGGUGGGGUAGUGGCUUACCAAGGCUUUGACGGGUAGCCGGCCUGAGAGGGUGACCGGCCACAUUGGGACUGAGAUACGGCCCAGACUCCUACGGGAGGCAACAGUGGGGAAUAUUGCACAAUGGGCGGAAGCCUGAUGCAGCAACGCCGCGUGCGGGAUGACGGCCUUCGGGUUGUAAACCGCUUUCGCCUGUGACGAAGCGUGAGUGACGGUAAUGGGUAAAGAAGCACCGGCUAACUACGU